Long non-coding RNA from Homo sapiens (human), 586 nucleotides. RefSeq annotates it as COQ7 divergent transcript. NCBI's taxonomy places the organism in Eukaryota, Metazoa, Chordata, Mammalia, Primates, Hominidae. The record is from RefSeq and is marked validated. The transcript has 4 exons.
AGCCGCCGCCGCCCCGGCGCAACUCAUUGCCGGAACUAAAAAAAGCAACCACUUCGUUGAACGGAACUGGCCAAUAGUGCCCUUGGCUCGGACUGAUGACGCACAGCAGACGCUGGAUUGCAGUGGGGAGACCUUGGCUCACUGGAACCUCUGCCUCCCGGGUUCAAGCGAUUCUCCUGCCUCAGCCUCCCAAGUAGAUGGGAUUACAGGAAAAAGCAAAGAGGAACUUUACAAACUAUUACAGUUUUCCAUCAUCACUUGACUGCUGACAAGAAGCCUCUUUGAAUUCCAGUAUACACGAUCACAUUUUAAAACCUUCAAGACGCCGUUUAAUCAGGAGUUGUAAGGCACAUUUGUUAGAGAGAGCUGCACUUUAAAAGUUAUACAGACAUCACCUGAAGUUAUUAAAGUUAUCAAAACAUAUUAAAAACCUUCAAGUAAGAGGCUACUCCCCAGGAAACGUGUGGAGCCAGUGAACGGAAGAAAAACAAUGGAAGGAAGGCUUGAAAAGUCCAUUACAAAACUACAGUCCUUUGAAAAAGAUUUCAAAGAUAUUAAAAUGAAAACUGAUUACAUUAAACAAUAA